AGAACGAACGCUGGCGGCAGGCUUAACACAUGCAAGUCGAGCGCCUCGCAAGGGGAGCGGCAGACGGGUGAGUAACGCGUGGGAAUUUACCCUAUGGUACGGAAUAACACAGAGAAAUUUGUGCUAAAUACCGUAUGUGUCCUUCGGGAGAAAGAUUUAUCGCCAUAGGAUGAGCCCGCGUAGGAUUAGCUAGUUGGUGAGGUAAUGGCUCACCAAGGCGACGAUCCUUAGCUGGUCUGAGAGGAUGAUCAGCCACACUGGGACUGAGACACGGCCCAGACUCCUACGGGAGGCAGCAGUGGGGAAUAUUGGACAAUGGGCGCAAGCCUGAUCCAGCCAUGCCGCGUGAGUGAUGACGGCCUUAGGGUUGUAAAGCUCUUUCGCACACGAGGAUAAUGACGGUAGUGUGAGAAGAACGCCCGGCUAACUUCGUGCCAGCAGCCGC
RNAcentral lists this ribosomal RNA (445 nucleotides) under uncultured bacterium. RNAcentral's name for it is "SSU rRNA". It matches the Rfam family "Bacterial small subunit ribosomal RNA", at positions 26 to 518 of the family's 1533-position model. The record is from RNAcentral.